RNAcentral lists this ribosomal RNA (381 nucleotides) under uncultured marine Chaetocerotaceae. RNAcentral's name for it is "SSU rRNA". It matches the Rfam family "Eukaryotic small subunit ribosomal RNA", at positions 587 to 972 of the family's 1831-position model. Lineage: Eukaryota; Bacillariophyta; Thalassiosirophyceae; Chaetocerotales; Chaetocerotaceae. The record is from RNAcentral.
AGCUCCAAUAGCGUAUAUUAAAGUUGCUGCAGUUAAAAAGCUCGUAGUUGCAUUUCCGAGUCAAGGGAUUAGUCCGACCUUUGGUGGGUAUUUAAUCCUCUUGCCUCGUCCUUGAGUGGUGCUUCUUGGUAUUAAGUUAUCGAGGAGAUAGCCGCUCAUCGUUUACUGUGAGAAAAUUAGAGUGUUCAAAGCAGGCUUAUGCCGUUGAAUAUAUUAGCAUGGAAUAAUAAGAUAGGACCUCGGUACUAUUUUGUUGGUUUGAGAACCAAGGUAAUGAUGAAUAGGGACAGUUGGGGGUAUUCGUAUUCAGUUGUCAGAGGUGAAAUUCUUAGAUUUACGGAAGACGAACUACUGCGAAAGCAUUUGCCAAGGAUGUUUUCA